GCGCCUGUAGCUCAGCUGGAUAGAGCGCCGGACUUCGAAUCCGUAGGUCGCAGGUUCGAAUCCUGCCAGGCGCG
Molecule: transfer RNA, 74 nt
Filed under: Desulfoluna spongiiphila
Lineage: Bacteria; Pseudomonadati; Thermodesulfobacteriota; Desulfobacteria; Desulfobacterales; Desulfolunaceae
Rfam family: tRNA
About the family: Transfer RNA (tRNA) molecules are approximately 80 nucleotides in length. Their secondary structure includes four short double-helical elements and three loops (D, anti-codon, and T loops). Further hydrogen bonds mediate the characteristic L-shaped molecular structure. tRNAs have two regions of fundamental functional importance: the anti-codon, which is responsible for specific mRNA codon recognition, and the 3' end, to which the tRNAs corresponding amino acid is attached (by aminoacyl-tRNA synthetases). tRNAs cope with the degeneracy of the genetic code in two manners: having more than one tRNA (with a specific anti-codon) for a particular amino acid; and 'wobble' base-pairing, i.e. permitting non-standard base-pairing at the 3rd anti-codon position.
Source: Rfam by way of RNAcentral